Passer domesticus (house sparrow) is the source of this 1815-nucleotide long non-coding RNA. RefSeq lists it as uncharacterized. The transcript has 5 exons. The record is from RefSeq and is a predicted model, not a curated record. Lineage: Eukaryota; Metazoa; Chordata; Aves; Passeriformes; Passeridae.
UCCUCAGGCUGUGGGGCAGAGGCCGGCGGCGCUGUCGGGUUCCUUUGAAAUUGGAAGGAAAUUCACCAAUGUGCAGCUGCGAAAGGGAUUUUUCGGCUGUAAUCCCGUUGUUGAGAUGCCGGAGAUUUCUAAAACUGCUGGUGGUGGAGGCGUUGUUCAGUGAUAGAAAAAGUUACAGGUUCGCCACCGUGAAAGCCGCGCGUACUUACGGUGUUUCUCAGCCAGGGUUUGUUUCGGCAGCGAAAAAAAUGAAAAAAAGCAGUGAAUGCUGGUUUGAAUUGCACAGAGGAUCCAAAUUAUGCAUCUGGAGGUGAGGCUUGGUUAUGUUUUCCGCUCUGAGCCACAAGGAAUAAGGUCAGAAAAACUUAAAAGCUCUGAUUCAGGCUCACAUAAUAAAAGUAUAAUUGAUGUGACAGUAUAUUUUCAGUCACAAAACAAAUUCAGCUACUUCAUGUGGGCCAGUUAUGAAAUAAUAUAAUGAAUCAGUUCUCAAGACCUGAAAUUUUAAUUGACCUUUAUCAAUAUCUAGUAUUUAUAGAUUUGCAGUACCUCAGAAACCUUUUCCACUCAUCCUUUUGCUGUCAUGCCUGCUGUAAAUAUCAGGGCACAGCAAAAGCAUGGAAAGGGCAACAAAGAAUAAUAACAUGGCAGAGGAUUGAGGGGUGGGUAUGGCAGCCACAGACAGAAGUAGGUUGCUAUUCUGUUUUAGAAAAAAGCAGAGAUUUAUGAAUAGAAGCAGCAGAUUAAUGUCAGUUUUAAAGCAAUAAACAACAUUCUGUCUGUGCUGAUCCCCAAUACACACCCAGGGCAAUUUUGUAUCUCCAGCUGGCAAUUACACAGCCAUGAAGUUGGAGCUGUGAAAGGUCAGCCAACCCCUGGGUGACACGUGCUGAGGUGUUGGACACCGUCUGUGGUGAGCAGAAGAGAAGGAACAAGAGAUGGGUAAUGAUAAACUGGAGAUCUCUGUAAGAGAGGUCUGAACAUAUUUGCAGCUUUGAUGAGUUUGUCACUCAGUAACUUACAUGUGCAUAGCCUUUUUAAUGUUGUGUUUUCAGUCAUCAGAUCUAAUGGAAAACAUGGAAAACACUAAAAUACAGCUUCAGAAGAGGUGGGCUUUAAGGGAUCAUGGAGGGGACAACAAGACGAGAAUGACUUCAGUGAUUUUGGAGCAGUUGUCUUCAACCUUUGAGUGAUGAUUUCUGAAUUCCCUUGGGAAUAUGGGCUCAUGGGGCUGACUGGAAAAUCAAAUAUCAUCACAGGGAGCUUAUGGGAAAAACCAACAACAACAAACACAGCAGCCAGUGGAAUGGCAACAAACCAGAUGAAUUUGUGGUAACCACAGCAGAUGUGGAAGCUGGAAGACAAGGAAAGGCAAAUAAGUGGAUUUGUGAGGUACUGAGAGAGGAAAUGUCUUUGAAAGCAACAGGAGGUAGAAAUUCUCUAGACUUGAUCUAUUCACCAAGGCAGAGCUGAGAGGUUUGAGGGCAGCCAGUGGUGUUUAGGUGUCCUGAGGAAUGCUGCAUUGAUCCCUUUCUGUUUCAGUGAGCUGGGAAAGAUGGGACACCCUGCAAGCAGAGGGACAUCAAAGGCUCUUACCAGGUGACAGUGGUGCCAGGCACACGUGGCAUUUGUGUGCCAGGGCAUCAGCAAGCACUCCUCAUGGGUAGUAAUCCACUCUGCUGACUGGUUGGGUCAGCUUCCCAUGGAAUUGCUACAAAUUCCAAUGUAGAGACAGCCUGCAAGACCCCAUUGAAAUAGCAUUUUCUAGGUGUUUAAAAUAUAAUAUAGUUAAAAUAAAAUAUAGUUUAAAAUGUU